GCAAAACGCGAAGAACCUUACCUGGUCUUGACAUAGUAAGAACUUUCCAGAGAUGGAUUGGUGCCUUCGGGAACUUACAUACAGGUGCUGCAUGGCUGUCGUCAGCUCGGUGUCGUGAGAUGUUGGGUUAAGUCCCGCAACGAGCGCGAACCCUUUUCCUUAUUUGCCAUCGGGUUAAGCCGGGAACUUUAAGGAUACUGCCAGUGACAAACUGGAGGAAGGCGGGGACGACGGUCAAGUCAUCAUGGCCCUUACGACCAGGGCUACACACGUGCUACAAUGGUCGGUACAAGGGUUGCUACCUAGCGAUAGGAUGCUAAUCUCAAAAAGCCGAUCGUAGUCCGGAUUGGAGUCUGCAACUCGACUCCAUGAAGUCGGAAUCGCUAGUAAUCGCGGAUCA
RNAcentral lists this ribosomal RNA (400 nucleotides) under uncultured bacterium. RNAcentral's name for it is "bacterial SSU rRNA". It matches the Rfam family "Bacterial small subunit ribosomal RNA", at positions 954 to 1351 of the family's 1533-position model. The record is from RNAcentral.